UUCUAUGAUUAUGAUAGAAGAGCAAAUAUGAAACCAUCCCGCUCGAGCUCCGGCAUCCCAGAAGUUCAAAAUUUGAUCCACCUUUCCACCUCUUUAAGUCGGGAUAGACUCAGACGUCCGAUUAGAAAGAAAAGGAAUUUCAUUUAUUUAAUUUGCAUGGAAGCUUAGUUGAAUACAAUCAUUGGGAAAAUGAUGGAAAAGCAAGAAUGGUUCAUUGUAUUUUUUCCAAAAACUCCAACAAACUAUCGAGCCAGCCAGCCUAAAAGAUCACUAUACGACGUAGUCUGACAACCUUUUCCUUUUAUCAAAAUUGUGCGCCUGCCGAAUUUAUAGGAUCUUACACUACAAAAUUGAGUGGUGUCACUGUGCAAAACCCCCUCUGCAUCCCAAAGAGUUGUGUUUAACGUGUCUACAAAAUGCAAGAAAUCAAUUAAAAUUU
RNAcentral lists this long non-coding RNA (439 nucleotides) under Olea europaea (common olive). RNAcentral's name for it is "long non-coding RNA (OEUR_LNC015121)". The record is from RNAcentral. Lineage: Eukaryota; Viridiplantae; Streptophyta; Magnoliopsida; Lamiales; Oleaceae.